Felis catus (domestic cat) is the source of this 2381-nucleotide long non-coding RNA. RefSeq lists it as uncharacterized. Lineage: Eukaryota; Metazoa; Chordata; Mammalia; Carnivora; Felidae. The record is from RefSeq and is a predicted model, not a curated record. The transcript is spliced from 2 exons.
UUUUUGAAUAUUUGGUAGAAUUCACCAGUGAAGCCAUCUGGUCCUUGACUUUUAUUUGUUGGGAGUUUUUGAUGACUGAUUCAAUCUCCUUACUAGUAACUGGUCCAUUCAGAUUUUUUACAUUGUCUCCCUUAAUCCAUGGUUUUGCUGUCUACAGUUUUAGUUCCUGCAGUCAACCACAUUCCAGAAGCAGAUGAUCCUCUCUCUGAUGUCAAAAGGACUUAAACUCAUCUCUCCUGCCUUCAUCACAAGCUUUCUGAGAUCAGAUGAGGUAGUGCGUGGGAAUGUGCUGCCCUGGUAAAGUCCCUUCACUUGUUAGGACUGAAUAAGUGACUGGAACUUCAUACAGAAAUUCCCCUUUUGGUAAUUAUCAAGUAAGUGAGAGCCGGGGGUGGGAGGCCAUUAUUUCUGAGGUGUUUCUGAUAACACAAUAGUUGGCCAAGUGAAGUUAAGCCCAGAAUACAUCCACAAGGAUGGUCUGUUUUAAAGUUUUAAAAGAAAAUGGACUCAAAUGUGUUUAUUACUAAUUUUCUUUCACGUGUUUGCCUGGUACCAGCUACUACAAACAAAGUAACCUCCGCUUACAUAUCUUACAUAAAGAAAGGAAGCUUCAUGUUUUCAUGAAAAUGAACCAAACGUUUUUCAUCGAACCUCCUUCAGGACUCUCCUACGAGAAAGUCCCCUCUUUGCAUGGCGCAAGACAUGGUGCUAAAUCCUCUCGUUUUUGCACUGUUUGAACCUGUAUCUUCAUUUCUUUUGAAGCCCAGACUCGAUGGGUGGAGGCAAAAGAAAGGUGGGCUCCAUCCACGGCAGCGACAUCAGAUACAGCCGGCUGGCCGGCCUUGCCAGCCUCGCUCAGCCUGCUGUAGGCAGUGUUCCACAGCAGGGGAGGUGGCUGGCCAGCUCCUGGCGUGACAUCAUCAGCUGUGCAGCUGUGGGCCUGGCACAUCAUGGCGUGAGCUUGGUGGUAGACCGCCAGCCAUUGAAUUAGAACAGCUGCUGAUUGGGAUGGAGAGCCCAGCAGAUGGGUCAGUUAAGCCUGCUGCUUGUGGUCAUAGCGUCAUUUUUAUCACUGUCUUGUUGAUGCAGAUUUAAGUACUCAAGUGAUUCCUUCCUUCCUUCCUUCCUUCCUUCCUUCCUUCCUUCCUUCCUGACCCCUGGCCUUGAAGAUGACAACCACAUUUUGUAAGACCUCAACACUUUUCUUUUUACAGUCACUUUCCCCAGGCCCGUGCUUUCUUUCCACUCUUCUCCAGAAAGGGAGGGAACCAUUGACGUCAUCAGUUCUGCGACUGAUUAUGCCAUGAUUAGAAUCCAGGAAACUUAGGAAGCUGAUUUUUCUUGCUGUCCUUCUUCUAUGAUGCCAGAACUUGGAGUCUUCGGGAUCUUAGAGGGAACUUCAAAGCUGAUGUAACUAAUAACACUGUGAGUUUGGCUGGUGAGGGAAAUGGAUACCAGACAAGUCAACAUGAGGAUGAUGGAGUAUGGGGCCUCCUGACGCGUGGUGCCAGGGUCACCAGGAUGUCCAUUCCUGGCCACCAUAUAUCAAGGACUCCUGAAGUUUGACCAGCAGAGGAUCGUUCUUUUAACCUAAACCUGUUCUUUUAUCAAAGAGCAAGGGCACCUGGUGGGGGGUGACCAGUUCAUCUGCUUUCAGGCAUGUCUACCUAAAUGUGCAUGAGUUUAUCCGAUCACUUCCUGAGAUUAGAUUUUGUUGGAAGGAUGAAAGAGGGAAAACGAUAGCAUGAGACAUCUGAGUGGUGUGAGGAAUGAGGAGAAGGGACAUCGAUAAGAGAGGGUAAAGAGAAGGAGGCUAAGUUCAUAUGCAUUGCUAGGCUUGGCACUGUGAAUGAACAGAAUGAUGGAAAAUCAGGACAUUUUGAUGGAAAAUGAUCAUCAGAAUACUGCUCUCCUGGAGAGAGAUAGGAAGCCAUCCAGCCAACACAGCAGUGUAUUGAUCGGGUUCCAGGGAUCCUUUCUUAUACAAUUUCCUUCUGAGUGUAAGACACAGUCUGAUACUUUUCAAUAUAUUUUCCUUUUCCCUACUAUCCCUGCACUGCCCAACCAAGCAUUCCCUAGAUCAUUGCUGGACACUUAGCCUCCUUCCUCAGCUCUCCUGAUGCCACAUGAAAGUCAAGCAAGACUUUUCCAGAAAGUCAUGCCAUGCAGGUUAAUUAGUGGAAAAUACAAUGUUGCAGCUCUUUUUAAAAUAGCAGGUACAAACUGUUCUAGAGCCCUUAGGGUGUAAAUAUCAUGUCUCCAUUAUUUCCUCAAAUUAAAUUAAAACUAGCCUGUGGAAAAAAAAGAUCAACUUAAAAUUGCAUUAUUUCAGUCUUGGUUAAAACUAGAAGACAUAGAAAUAAAGUUGUAAGAAUAAGAAA